This 412-nucleotide ribosomal RNA is filed under the name uncultured microorganism. RNAcentral's name for it is "bacterial SSU rRNA". It matches the Rfam family "Archaeal small subunit ribosomal RNA", at positions 330 to 745 of the family's 1478-position model. The record is from RNAcentral.
GCGCACCAGGCGCGAAACCUUCGCAAUGCGGGAAACCGCGACGAGGGACUCCCAGUGCCUACGCUCGGCGUAGGCUGUUCCCGAGCCUAGAAAGCUCGGGGAGUAAGGGCUGGGUAAGACGGGUGCCAGCCGCCGCGGUAAUACCCGCAGCCCGAGUGGUGGCCACUAUUAUUGGGCCUAAAGCGUCCGUAGCCGGCCCGGUAAAUGCCUGGGUAAAUCGUGAGGCCUAACCUCACGAAUUCCGGGUAGACUGCCGGGCUAGGGACCGGAGGAGGGAGAGGGUACUCCAGGGGUAGGGGUGAAAUCCUGUAAUCCCUGGAGGACCACCGGUGGCGAAGGCGCUCUCCUAGGACGGGUCCGACGGUGAGGGACGAAAGCCAGGGGAGCGAACCGGAUUAGAUACCCGGGUAGU